Molecule: ribosomal RNA, 498 nt
Filed under: uncultured bacterium
Lineage: Bacteria
Description: partial 16S ribosomal RNA
Rfam family: Bacterial small subunit ribosomal RNA
Source: RNAcentral
ACGCACGCUGGCGGCGUGCUUAACACAUGCCAGUCGAACGGGCCCGCCCCUGUUUUUGGGGGUGGGUUGAGUGGCGAACGGGUGAGUAUCACGUGAGUAACCUGCCCCCUGCUCCUGGAUAACUGCUUGAAAGGGCGGCUAAUACGGGGUGUGCCGGCUGGUCCGCCUGGGCCUGGUCGGGAUAGUUUCAUCUUCGGGUGUUUCGGUGGGGGAUGGGCUCGCGGCCUAUCAGCUUGUUGGUGGGGUGAUGGCCCACCAAGGCGGUGACGGGUAGCCGGCGUGAGAGGGUGGGCGGCCACACUGGGACUGAGACACGGCCCAGACUCCUGCGGGAGGCAGCAGUGGGGGGUAUUGCACAAUGGGCGGAAGCCUGAUGCAGCGACGUCGCGUGAGGGAUGGAGGCCUUCGGGUUGUGAACCUCUUUCUCCGGUGGUGAAGGCCCUGUCCGUUGCGGCGGGGUUGACGGUAGCCGGGGAUGAAGCGCCGGCUAACUACGUG